RNAcentral lists this ribosomal RNA (500 nucleotides) under uncultured bacterium. Its description in RNAcentral is "partial 16S ribosomal RNA". It matches the Rfam family "Bacterial small subunit ribosomal RNA", at positions 30 to 523 of the family's 1533-position model. The record is from RNAcentral.
AUUGAACGCUGGCGGCAGGCCUAACACAUGCAAGUCGAGCGGAUGAGAGGAGCUUGCUUCUCGAUUCAGCGGCGGACGGGUGAGUAAUGCCUAGGAAUCUGCCUGGUAGUGGGGGACAACGGUUCGAAAGGAACGCUAAUACCGCAUACGUCCUACGGGAGAAAGCAGGGGACCUUCGGGCCUUGCGCUAUCAGAUGAGCCUAGGUCGGAUUAGCUAGUUGGUGAGGUAAUGGCUGACCAAGGCGACGAUCCGUAACUGGUCUGAGAGGAUGAUCAGUCACACUGGAACUGAGACACGGUCCAGACUCCUACGGGAGGUAGCAGUGGGGAAUAUUGGACAAUGGGCGAAAGCCUGAUCCAGCCAUGCCGCGUGUGUGAAGAAGGUCUUCGGAUUGUAAAGCACUUUAAGUUGGGAGGAAGGGUUGUAGAUUAAUACUCUGCAAUUUUGACGUUACCGACAGAAUAAGCACCGGCUAACUCUGUGCCAGCCGCCGCGGUAA